UAAUACAUGCAAGUCGACGCUUUUCCUUUCACCGGAGCUUGCUCCACCGAAAGAAAAGGAGUGGCGAACGGGUGAGUAACACGUGGGUAACCUGCCCAUCAGAAGGGGAUAACACUUGGAAACAGGUGCUAAUACCGUAUAACAAUCGAAACCGCAUGGUUUCGGUUUGAAAGGCGCUUUUGCGUCACUGAUGGAUGGACCCGCGGUGCAUUAGCUAGUUGGUGAGGUAACGGCUCACCAAGGCAACGAUGCAUAGCCGACCUGAGAGGGUGAUCGGCCACAUUGGGACUGAGACACGGCCCAAACUCCUACGGGAGGCAGCAGUAGGGAAUCUUCGGCAAUGGACGCAAGUCUGACCGAGCAACGCCGCGUGAGUGAAGAAGGUUUUCGGAUCGUAAAACUCUGUUGUUAGAGAAGAACAAGGAUGAGAGUAAAAUGUUCAUCCCUUGACGGUAUCUAACCAGAAAGCCACGGCUAACUACGUGCCAGCAGCCGCGGUAAUACGUAGGUGGCAAGCGUUGUCCGGAUUUAUUGGGCGUAAAGCGAGCGCAGGCGGUUUCUUAAGUCUGAUGUGAAAGCCCCCGGCUCAACCGGGGAGGGUCAUUGGAAACUGGGGAACUUGAGUGCAGAAGAGGAGAGUGGAAUUCCAUGUGUAGCGGUGAAAUGCGUAGAUAUAUGGAGGAACACCAGUGGCGAAGGCGGCUCUCUGGUCUGUAACUGACGCUGAGGCUCGAAAGCGUGGGG
Molecule: ribosomal RNA, 744 nt
Filed under: uncultured Bacilli bacterium
Lineage: Bacteria; Bacillati; Bacillota; Bacilli
Description: bacterial SSU rRNA
Rfam family: Bacterial small subunit ribosomal RNA
Source: RNAcentral